GGGCCGUUAGCUCAGUCGGUAGAGCACCGCACUUUUAAUGCGAUGGUCGUUGGUUCGAAUCCAACACGGCCCA
This 73-nucleotide transfer RNA is filed under the name Methylohalobius crimeensis. Its description in RNAcentral is "tRNA-Lys". It matches the Rfam family "tRNA". Rfam says of the family: Transfer RNA (tRNA) molecules are approximately 80 nucleotides in length. Their secondary structure includes four short double-helical elements and three loops (D, anti-codon, and T loops). Lineage: Bacteria; Pseudomonadati; Pseudomonadota; Gammaproteobacteria; Methylococcales; Methylothermaceae. The record is from RNAcentral. RNAcentral also lists the same sequence under 4 other names.